Molecule: ribosomal RNA, 253 nt
Filed under: uncultured bacterium
Lineage: Bacteria
Description: partial 16S ribosomal RNA
Rfam family: Bacterial small subunit ribosomal RNA
Source: RNAcentral
UACGGAGGGUGCAAGCGUUAUCCGGAUUCACUGGGUUUAAAGGGUGCGUAGGUGGUGAGGUAAGUCGGAUGUGAAAGCUCCGAGCUCAACUCGGAAAUGGCAUUGGAAACUACCUUGCUAGAGGGUUUGAGGGGGGACUGGAAUACUUGGUGUAGCAGUGAAAUGCGUAGAUAUCAAGUGGAACACCAGUGGCGAAGGCGAGUCCCUGGAAAACUCCUGACACUGAGGCACGAAAGCUAGGGGAGCAAACAGG